GACCUGUGGCAGCCGUCUUGCGAAAAUGAGGCAAUAAGUGCAGAAUGAAAGCCAACUCGCCCACGAUAGGGGAGCAGAAAGGCAGCAACCGCCCAGAUGAAGAGACCACAGUGUGGCCUCCUUGCAGCUGAGAGCAACCUAUGCAGUGUCAGAUGCUACUGGGUGGGGCUGCCUGCAAAGUUCUAGAAAGGCCAUCACGUGUGGCACUGUCAAUCCUUAAGCCAAUGGCAUGAAGUAAGUACAGACGAGAAAACUGAAGACCUGACAGAUUAAGCAACUUUCCCAGGGCCGCAGAGCCACAGAGUGACAGAAUGAAGACGUUGGUUGCACAGUCCUGCUCCAGAGCCCACCCCCUGAUCCCUUCUCUGCCACUUCUCCUCAAGCCUAAACCUUCAGAAACGACUGCUGCCUAAUAAUGAAGGAAGCCAGGGUGAAAGAGAGUAGAAAAGACACUGGGAGAAAAGAAAUGGGUCUGAGAACAUCGAGGCCCCUGGAUCCAGCUGUGCCUGAAACCAGACCUUCUGAACUUGGAAAUUAUUUGAGUCAAUAAAUUGCCUCUUUGUUAACA
This is a long non-coding RNA of Lynx canadensis (Canada lynx), 568 nucleotides long. RefSeq lists it as uncharacterized. Lineage: Eukaryota; Metazoa; Chordata; Mammalia; Carnivora; Felidae. The transcript is spliced from 3 exons. The record is from RefSeq and is a predicted model, not a curated record.